GGUCGCUUAGCUCAGUUGGUUAGAGCGUGGUGCUAAUACAUUGUAUGAUACGCCAAGGUCGCGAGUUCGACCCUCGUAGUGACCA
This 85-nucleotide transfer RNA is filed under the name Exserohilum turcica Et28A. RNAcentral describes it as "Setosphaeria turcica Et28A tRNA". It matches the Rfam family "tRNA". From Rfam's summary of the family: Transfer RNA (tRNA) molecules are approximately 80 nucleotides in length. Lineage: Eukaryota; Fungi; Ascomycota; Dothideomycetes; Pleosporales; Pleosporaceae. The record is from Rfam by way of RNAcentral.